RNAcentral lists this ribosomal RNA (434 nucleotides) under uncultured bacterium. RNAcentral's name for it is "partial 16S ribosomal RNA". It matches the Rfam family "Bacterial small subunit ribosomal RNA", at positions 29 to 508 of the family's 1533-position model. The record is from RNAcentral.
AACGAACGCUGGCGGCAUGCCUAACACAUGCAAGUCGAACGAGACCUUCGGGUCUAGUGGCGCACGGGUGCGUAACGCGUGGGAACCUGCCCUUAGGUUCGGAAUAACUCCCCGAAAGGGGUGCUAAUACCGGAUAAUGUCUUCGGACCAAAGAUUUAUCGCCUAUGGAUGGGCCCGCGUUGGUUUAGCUAGUUGGUAGGGUAAAAGCCUACCAAGGCGACGAUCCAUAGCUGGUCUGAGAGGAUGAUCAGCCACACUGGGACUGAGACACGGCCCAGACUCCUACGGGAGGCAGCAGUGGGGAAUAUUGGACAAUGGGCGAAAGCCUGAGCAAGCAAUGCCGCGUGAGUGAUGAAGGCCUUAGGGUUGUAAAGCUCUUUUACCCGGGAUGAUAAUGACAGUACCGGGAGAAUAAGCUCCCGCUAACUCCGUGC